RNAcentral lists this ribosomal RNA (2250 nucleotides) under Triticum aestivum (bread wheat). RNAcentral describes it as "partial small subunit ribosomal RNA". The record is from RNAcentral. Lineage: Eukaryota; Viridiplantae; Streptophyta; Magnoliopsida; Poales; Poaceae.
AUGUCGAGCGCCGCCACCACCGGUUCCACUGCUGCGGGCUUCCUCCCGGCCUCUCUUGCGGCUCUGCUCAACCUCCCGCUCGAUGCCGUCUCCGUUCCGGCUCCGAUCGGGACAAGGAGCAUCGGCUCCGUCUUCUCCACGCCGCCGGCGCCCUCGCUCGGGCGUGACCUCGUGGUCCACACCGCGGCGCCGCCGUCCGCUGCGGAUUCCACAGGCGUCGUCCCGCCGCUCCUGCCGCGAGCGGAUCACACCGCCCCGCUGGCGGGGUUGGCGGCGUCCGCCCCGGCCGCGGGCCUUGCGGCGUCCGCACCGGCCGCGAGCUUUGCGGCGCCCCCCCUGGCUGCGGUCCCGCCUCCUCCCGCAUCGGCUUCGGUGUCUCCGGCUGCCUCCAUGGUGUUUGCACCCCAGGCAGCCUCCUCGAUGGGAUCGUCUUCGCCGCCGCCGUUUCACUUCGGUCAUCUCAUCACCAUCAAGCUCUCCGCAGACAACUACAUCUUCUGGCGUGCGCAGGUUCUCCCGCUCUUGGGGAGUCACUACCUGCUAGGCUACGUCGACGGAUCGCUUCCCUGCCCACCCGCGCUGGUAGACAGCGUGCACGGUCCGGUCUACAAUCCGGCCCAUCGCGUCUGGACGGGGCAGGACCAGGCGAACCUCUCCUCCAUUCAGGGGUCGCUCUCGCCGGCAGUUGCCGGCCUUGUUGUCUUCGCGAAGACGUCUCAUGAGGCCUGGACCAUCCUUGAGCGCACCUUUGCAGCGCAGUCUCAGGCUCGUGUCUCUGCACUCCGUCGUCAGCUUGGAGAGUGUCAGAAGCUUGACUCCACGGCCACUGAGUUCUACAACAAGGUCAAGGGCCUUGCCGACACAUUGGCCUCCAUUGGACAGCCCCUCACCGACUCCGAGUUCAACUCGUUUAUUGUCAAUGGUCUUGAUGAGGAGUAUGAUGCCUUAGUCGAGAUCAUCAACGAGCGGGGUAACUCGACACCCAUGUUGGCACACGAGGUUUUCUCUCGGCUUCUUCUCACUGAGAAACGGGUCGAGACUCCCCGCACCAGGGGCACUGGCUCUCUCUCGGCCAACGUCGCCACCAAGGGUGGCCGCUCUUCUUCAUCACCCCGGUCUCCCUUGGGGCUGCCACCGUCGCCCGCCUCGGCCCCCCCACCUACUGCGACCUUACCGGGGGCUGGCGGUCCACGUGUGUGUCAGCUUUGUGGCCGCGAUGGGCACUGGGCCUCCAAGUGUCAUAAGCGCUUCCAGCGAAGCUUCCUUGGUCUUGGCAAUGACGGCAAAGAUACACGCAACAAUGCCCGUCAGGUCGCCAUGGCUGAUCGUCCCGCACCGCAGAAGCACCAGGGACACACUCAGUCCUACUCCAUCGAUCCACACAGGUACAUGGACUCUGGGGCGACAGAGCAUCUGACCAGCGAGAUGGGGAAGCUUCACACUCGUGAACCCUAUCAUGGCUCCGACAAGAUCCACACCGCCAAUGGAGCAGGUAUGCACAUCUCUCAUAUUGGUCAAGCAUCUCUUCUCACUAGACAUGCCAAUAGGAGUCUUCAGCUUCGCAAUGUUCUUCGCGUUCCAUCUGUGACCCGCAAUCUUCUUUCGGUUCCUAAACUCACACGUGAUAAUAAUGUGCUUUGUGAAUUUCACCCUUUUGAUCUUUUUAUUAAGGAUCGGGGCACGAGGGACAUUCUUCUUAGUGGGCGGUUGUGCCAGGGCCUCUACCGUCUGGAGCAUCCUGGCGUCGCUCGCGUUUUCAGUGGAGUUCGGGUCUCUCCAUCACAGUGGCAUGCUCGUCUUGGUCACCCGGCCACACCUAUUGUCCGUCAUAUUUUGCGUCGUCAUGAGCUUCCUAGUUUGUCUAGUAAUAAAGAUGUAGCAGUGUGUGAUGCUUGUCAGCAGGGGAAGAGUCAUCAACUUCCUUUUUCGGAGUCCAGUCGUGAGGUGAAACAUCCGUUAGAACUUGUGUUUUCAGAUGUAUGGGGUCCUGCUCAGACUUCUGUCAGUGGUCAUAAUUACUAUAUCAGUUUCGUUGAUGCUUAUAGUCGCUUUACCUGGCUUUACCUUAUUAAACGCAAAUCUGAUGUGUUUGAUAUUUUUGUUCAGUUUCAAAAACAUGUUGAACGUCUUCUCAAGCACAAAAUUGUUCAUGUCCAGUCGGACUGGGGGGGCGAGUAUCGCAACCUCAACUCCUUCUUUCAGUCGCUUGGGAUAGCUCAUCGUUUAGCAUGUCCACAUACACAUCAGUAG